RNAcentral lists this long non-coding RNA (286 nucleotides) under Eutrema salsugineum. RNAcentral describes it as "long non-coding RNA (ESAL_LNC000090)". Lineage: Eukaryota; Viridiplantae; Streptophyta; Magnoliopsida; Brassicales; Brassicaceae. The record is from RNAcentral.
UUAGAACUAUAGAGAUCCUAAUCGAUAUAUAUGCUUGUCGAUGACUCUUAAAACAACUUGACUCUCUGGGACAAAUCUGCAUGAUGCAAGAAAUGAUAAAAGACAUGAAAAAUGCAAAAGAUGAAACAGAAAGGUUAAUAAGAUAGAAAGGAGAAAGAACAAUGGAUCAGGGGAAGAAUCCCCAUCUCCAUCGCCUAACCCUUGAAAAACAAAGUUUGGUGGCUCAAAAUCUCAUUACAGGAGCACACACCUGUUUAGGACUGCUAAAAAAUGUAUUUAUAGGUCC